GACGGAGAGUGCGAACGUUGUUCGGAUUUACUGGGCGUAGAGGGCACGUAGGCGGCCAGGCAAAUCAGUUGUGGAAUCCCGACGCCUACCGUCGGAACGGCAAUUGAAAAUACCUGGCUCGAGGGCAUGAGGGGUCGCAGGAACUCCUGGUGGAGCGGUGAAAUGCGUAGAUAUCAGGAGGAACGCCGGAGGCGAAAGCGUGCGACUGGCGUGUCCCUGACGCUGAGGUGCGAAAGCCGGGGGAGCAAACAGGAUUAGAUACCGGGUAGUCC
This 272-nucleotide ribosomal RNA is filed under the name uncultured prokaryote. RNAcentral's name for it is "partial 16S ribosomal RNA". It matches the Rfam family "Bacterial small subunit ribosomal RNA", at positions 524 to 796 of the family's 1533-position model. The record is from RNAcentral.